Molecule: long non-coding RNA, 1168 nt
Filed under: Oryza brachyantha (malo sina)
Lineage: Eukaryota; Viridiplantae; Streptophyta; Magnoliopsida; Poales; Poaceae
Description: long non-coding RNA (OBRA_LNC002105)
Source: RNAcentral
GGGGGCGCGUCCGAGUCGGAGGCGGCUGCUCCGGCUCCAGCGGAGGAGUAAGAUGCUGCCCCCCGCGCUUAGAUCCACCAAGAACUGAUGCUAUUUUGGCACUUAAUUGGAGAUUAUUUAUGAUUCCUUCCGCUGAUGAUCACUAGUACCUCUAUAUGUAUUAGGAAUGUUCGCUUGGCUUGAGAUGAUGAAUUGAUGUUUAUUACCUGAACCUGGUACCUUGUUACAAAUGUGUUGAAGCUAUAUAGGUCCAUGUUAUCGUCUGCGCUCACACAUGUAUGAAGCCAUAAUCUGUUUGCUCCUUGUUUGCAUGAGUCAGAUGUUCUGAUUAUUUGGCUGUAUAUGCGUUAGUGCUUCCAGAGUUCAGGAGUAUGUACUAUAUUUUCAUUUAAACCUGGGGGUAUGCCAGUUCUACUAUUACUGUGGAUUGGUUUGGUAGUAAAGAAGGGAACUACCUAGUUCUUCAAUCUUAAUAAUCUAAAUGGAGCUACAAAAUCUUCUAAUAAGUUACAUGGUUUGUCAUAAAUUGGAAGAGGUGUUUAUGGAAUUUGAAUUCAAGUAUUCAAUUAGUACUGUAUGUUAGAUGAUACAACAGGUGGCAUUUCAAUGAAGAAUACCGAAGUGCAAGAAGAUGAAGGCACAGUGCAUAUGAAGGCAGGUGGCAUUUCAAUGAAGAAUACCAAACUGCAAGAAGACGAAGGCAUAGUACAUUCAUCUCUUCAGGAAACUAUUACACCGGUUUGAGAAGUUAGAUUUACACAUUGAAGAUUUGAAAUUAGUCCUGGAUGAAAACUACAGCUUACCAUCAAUUUUUUUUAUUUCUCUGCUAUUCAUUUGGCCUAUUGUUAUGCUGUACAUGAAAAUGACCUAGACUGCAUUGCUUAGAUUGGAAAAGGUACCAAUUCUCCAGACCUGCCUGUCUGUUAUGAGUUUCAGCGCAUAAAGGACAGUGUUAUCUAUUCUGCGUGUAUUUGCCAAUCGGAGGAUCUGACUCAAACUGCUUGAAUAUUAUGGAACCUUCUCUUGUCUGUAGGUUAUCCAUUUUCAUGACAUUCUGAUUACUUUCAAGCAGUUGCAUUGCUUAAUGAAUUAUUUGCUGCAAGGGGAUUAGUCUCAGCACCUGUAAAUGCUGGUGAUGUUUAAUUUUUGAGUAAAUAGCAGUUUGGGC